CUCUCUGUGUGGUCUGGAACUCUCUGAUGGUCUGGGAACUCUCUGUGGUCUGGGAGCUCUCUGAGUGGUCUGGGAGCUCUCUGAGUGGUAUGGGAGCUCUCUGAGUGGUCUGGGAGCUCUCUGAGUGGUCUGGGAACUCUCUGAGUGGUCUGGAACUCUCUGAGUGGUCUGGGAACUCUCUGAGUGGUCUGGAACUCUCUGAGUGGUCUGGGAGCUCUCUGUGUGGUCUGGAACUCUCUGAGUGGUCUGGAACUCUCUGAGUGGUCUGGAACUCUCUGAGUGGUCUGGGAACUCUCUGAGUGGUCUGGAACUCUCUGUGUGGUCUGGGAGCUCUCUGUGUGGUCUGGAACUCUCUGAGUGGUCUGGAACUCUCUGAGUGGUCUGGAACUCUCUGAGUGGUCUGGAACUCUCUGUGGUCUGGAACUCUCUGAGUGGUCUGGAACUCUCUGUGGUCUGGAACUCUCUGAGUGGUCUGGAACUCUCUGUGGUCUGGAACUCUCUGUGGUCUGGAACUCUCUGAGUGGUCUAGGAGCUCUCUGAGUGGUCUGGGAGCUCUCUGAGUGGUCUGGGAGCUCUCUGAGUGGUCUGGGAGCUCUCUGAGUGGUCUGGGAGCUCUCUGAGUGGUCUGGGAGCUCUCUGAGUGGUCUGGGAACUCUCUGAGUGGUCUGGGAGCUCUCUGAGUGGUCUGGAACUCUCUGAGUGGUCUGGAACUCUCUGAGUGGUCUGGAACUCUCUGAGUGGUCUGGAACUCUCUGAGUGGUCUGGAACUCUCUGUGGUCUGGAACUCUCUGAGUGGUCUGGAACUCUCUGAGUGGUCUGGAACUCUCUGAGUGGUCUGGAACUCUCUGAGUGGUCUGGAACUCUCUGAGUGGUCUGGAACUCUCUGUGGUCUGGAACUCUCUGAGUGGUCUGGAACUCUCUGUGGUCUGGAACUCUCUGAGUGGUCUGGAACUCUCUGAGUGGUCUGGGAGCUCUCUGAGUGGUCUGGAACUCUCUGAGUGGUCUGGAACUCUCUGAGUGGUCUGGAACUCUCUGAGUGGUCUGGAACUCUCUGUGUGGUCUGGAACUCUCUGUGUGGUCUGGAACUCUCUGAGUGGUCUGGAACUCUCUGUGUGGUCUGGAACUCUCUGUGUGGUCUGGAACUCUCUGUGUGGUCUGGAACUCUCUGUGUGGUCUGGAACUCUCUGAGUGGUCUGGAACUCUCUGAGUGGUCUGGAACUCUCUGAGUGGUCUGGAACUCUCUGAGUGGUCUGGAACUCUCUGAGUGGUCUGGAACUCUCUGUGUGGUCUGGAACUCUCUGAGUGGUCUGGAACUCUCUGUGUGGUAUGGGAACUCUCUGAGUGGUAUGGGAACUCUCUGUGUGGUCUGGAACUCUCUGAGUGGUCUGGAACUCUCUGAGUGGUCUGGAACUCUCUGAGUGGUCUGGAACUCUCUGAGUGGUCUGGGAGCUCUCUGAGUGGUCUGGAACUCUCUGAGUGGUCUGGGAACUCUCUGUGGUCUGGAACUCUCUGUGGUCUGGAACUCUCUGAGUGGUCUGGGAGCUCUCUGAGUGGUCUGGGAGCUCUCUGAGUGGUCUGGGAGCUCUCUGAGUGGUAUGGGAGCUCUCUGAGUGGUCUGGAACUCUCUGAGUGGUCUGGGAACUCUCUGAGUGGUCUGGAACUCUCUGAGUGGUCUGGAACUCUCUGAGUGGUCUGGAACUCUCUGUGGUCUGGAACUCUCUGAGUGGUCUGGGAACUCUCUGAGUGGUCUGGGAACUCUCUGAGUGGUCUGGGAACUCUCUGAGUGGUCUGGAACUCUCUGUGGUCUGGAACUCUCUGUGUGGUCUGGAACUCUCUGUGGUCUGGAACUCUCUGUGGUCUGGAACUCUCUGAGUGGUCUGGGAACUCUCUGAGUGGUCUGGGAACUCUCUGAGUGGUCUGGGAACUCUCUGUGGUCUGGGAGCUCUCUGAGUGGUCUGGGAACUCUCUGAGUGGUCUGGGAGCUCUCUGAGUGGUCUGGGAGCUCUCUGAGUGGUCUGGGAGCUCUCUGAGUGGUCUGGGAGCUCUCUGAGUGGUCUGGGAGCUCUCUGAGUGGUCUGGAACUCUCUGACUGGAACUCUCUGAGUGGUCUGGAACUCUCUGAGUGGUCUGGAACUCUCUGUGGUCUGGAACUCUCUGAGUGGUCUGGGAACUCUCUGUGGUCUGGGAGCUCUCUGAGUGGUCUGGGAACUCUCUGAGUGGUCUGGGAGCUCUCUGAGUGGUCUGGGAACUCUCUGAGUGGUCUGGGAACUCUCUGAGUGCGGGCACAUGUCUAGUGGUUAAGCGUGUUGGGCCAGUAACCGAAAAGUCACUGGUUCGAAUUCCAGUGAAAGAUCUGUUGAUGUGCCCUUUAGCAAGGCACUUAACCCUGAUUGCUCCUGUAAGGUGCUCUGGAUAAGAGCGUCAGCUAAAUGACUCAAAUGUUAAAUGUAAAUGUGUCUCUUCAGCACAGCCUCCCUGUUGAGCCAAGUGGGGGCUAUAUGUCUCUUCAGCACAGCCUCCCUGUGGAGUCAAGUGGAGGCUAUGUGUCUCUUCAGCACAGCCUCCCUGUGGAGCCAAGUGGAGGCUAUAUGUCUCUUCAGCACAGCCUCCCUGUGGAGCCAAGUGGAGACUAUGUGUCUCUUCAGCACAGCCUCCCUGUGGAGCCAAGUGGAGGCUAUGUGUCUCUUCAGCACAGCCUCCCUGUGGAGCCAAGUGGAGGCUAUAUGUCUCUUCAGCACAGCCUCCCUGUGGAGCCAAGUGGAGAC
Molecule: long non-coding RNA, 2765 nt
Filed under: Salmo salar (Atlantic salmon)
Lineage: Eukaryota; Metazoa; Chordata; Actinopteri; Salmoniformes; Salmonidae
Description: lncRNA (ENSSSAG00000086090.1)
Source: RNAcentral